Molecule: small nucleolar RNA, 94 nt
Organism: Colossoma macropomum (tambaqui)
Lineage: Eukaryota; Metazoa; Chordata; Actinopteri; Characiformes; Serrasalmidae
Product: Z30 small nucleolar RNA
Exons: 1
Source: RefSeq, a predicted model, not a curated record
CAGCUAUGAUGAGUGAACAAACAUGACUUAGUAUUGCCACAAUAUGGUGACUCUGACCAAGGUCUGACUUGGUUUUAAACUUCUCUCUGAGCAA